GCAGACCGGAUGGAAGCCGGAGCUAUUGGCAGCCUGUGACUGGUUCCCCUGGGAAGGCCGCUCUGGUGAUGAACUCAGCUCCUCACCUGGGGCCUGGCAGCCCGAUCACGGAAACGAGAAUUGCGACCCCGUGGCUCAUCCGGGGUGCAGCGGCUCUGUAAUCGUGUGGGUUUCUCUCGUCUUUGGGGGCAGGAACGGGCAGCGAGUGGCCGCUUGGAUUAACCACCCCCACCUCUGGGCGCGGCUGGCACCUUGUAAUUAGGUCACUCGUAGGUGGAGGAGCGUGUACCUACCGGGGGAGUGCCGCGCAGUGCACCUGACUUCCCCGACACACACCCGUCCCCGGACCUAGGUGUUUCGUCGGGCGCGAUGAGCUUCCACGCGCUCCACGCCCCGCUCCUCGCCCGUGGUUGCUUUCCUCCAAGUUCGAUUCUCUCUGGGAAUGAGAGACCCUCAACCCCUGCGCGCCCUGUCCUACUUUCAAGAGGGGAAGCCCGGAGAAGAUGGAUGCACCUGUCCUGACCGCGUCUCGGUGGCGUGAGAAGCAGCUGUGAUACGUGCUUAAAAGAGAGAGCUCGUAUACCCUAGGAUUGGACCGCUGUCUGGUUAUGAAUCGCUUUGGAGUUUGCGAAACGUUUUCACAUUCUAUUGUCCCUGCUUUUACAUAAAUAUCUGGUUCCAUAGAGCGCCAGCUAUGUACCAGAUCCGGAGGGGUCAUCCAGACGGACCAGGGACCAUGCCCUGGAGCUUGUAUUCUCCCAACAGUACUGGCUGAAGAUGGUUUGGGAUAGGCAGAAGAGAGAUCAUAAUGCCCCCAGGAUUUGAGAGAUGUAGAAGCUUUCCAAAGAACAUUUACCAUAAAGGGCAAGGCAAGAGCUGAACCUGAUCGCCUGUCUUCCAGGAGCCCCACCCUCAGUAUCAGGCAACCCUUCCACACCCAAGUGCUCAGCGAUGCUUGGGAGGAGAGUGCUCACUCUGCGGCUCUCAGGGCAUAAUCCCCACCAACAGGCUGAAGAAGGCACUGGAGGCCCCAUCAGCCAAUAGCAGGACUGAAAAUCCUCCUUUAUCCAAGACAACCUGUUUGGCAAGGCCGACUGGCUUGGCCCCCCUAGGCUGGAAAUUGCAAUUCUGCUUUCCCUUCACACCUCCCAUUAGUGUGCACAAAAGAAAGUACCUCAGAUCUACUCUUCUAGAAGUCUUAUCACAUACUUAAUUUACCAGACUGGGAAAAAGACCCUUUAGCCCAAAUUCUGUCCCUGUUUUGCAGUUAACAUCCCCAAACAAUAGAAGGGUAAGAGUUAAGACCAAGUGGAAUGAAUAAGGAAAAAAUCAUCACUUAGUGCCCGUGAUUAUAAAGCCAUACCCAGUGUGCUGUCUAA
This 1379-nucleotide long non-coding RNA is filed under the name Pongo abelii (Sumatran orangutan). RNAcentral describes it as "lincRNA". Lineage: Eukaryota; Metazoa; Chordata; Mammalia; Primates; Hominidae. The record is from RNAcentral.